AACCUACGGGACGCAGCAGUGGGGAAUAUUGCGCAAUGGGGGCAACCCUGACGCAGCAACGCCGCGUGCGGGACGAAGGCCUUCGGGUUGUAAACCGCUUUCAGCAGGGAAGAACCAUGACGGUACCUGCAGAAGAAGCCCCGGCUAACUACGUGCCAGCAGCCGCGGUAAUACGUAGGGGGCAAGCGUUAUCCGGAUUUACUGGGUGUAAAGGGAGCGUAGACGGCAUUGCAAGUCUGAUGCGAAAGAUUGGGGCUCAACCCCAGGCCUGCAUUGGAAACUGUAAAGCUGGAGUACAGGAGAGG
This 305-nucleotide ribosomal RNA is filed under the name uncultured bacterium. RNAcentral's name for it is "bacterial SSU rRNA". It matches the Rfam family "Bacterial small subunit ribosomal RNA", at positions 335 to 657 of the family's 1533-position model. The record is from RNAcentral.